This 253-nucleotide ribosomal RNA is filed under the name uncultured bacterium. RNAcentral's name for it is "partial 16S ribosomal RNA". It matches the Rfam family "Bacterial small subunit ribosomal RNA", at positions 524 to 776 of the family's 1533-position model. The record is from RNAcentral.
UACGGAGGAUCCAAGCGUUAUCCGGAAUCAUUGGGUUUAAAGGGUCCGUAGGCGGUUUGGUAAGUCAGUGGUGAAAGCCCAUCGCUCAACGGUGGAACGGCCAUUGAUACUGCCAGACUUGAAUUAUUAGGAAGUAACUAGAAUAUGUAGUGUAGCGGUGAAAUGCUUAGAGAUUACAUGGAAUACCAAUUGCGAAGGCAGGUUACUACUAAUGGAUUGACGCUGAUGGAUGAAAGCGUGGGUAGCGAACAGG